GUUUCUUUAGAUGCAUCAAACUAAAAAACAAAUAUAUAUGUUGCAUUUAUGAAUCUAUGUCUCUUACUCCAUGUUUAUCUCUAUUCAAAUGUCUGAUAAAUAUCUAAUGAAUAUGUGUCUUAUACUCAUGUUGUACCUGCACCUUCAACGAGAGCAUUGGCUUCUUCAUCUUGAGCAGGAACAAUACCUUCAUCCUGAGCCAUAGCAUCAAUUUCCUCGGCAGCUACAUCCUCAACUUCUCCGGGUAUGAUUUCACCACCUAGUUCUGCUGGGGGAGUAGAGUUGAUAUCCAAAAGAAAACCUACUUCUAGAUGAACACCUACAAGGAGUAGCAAGUUUCUUUAUAUGCAUCAAACUAAAAAACAAAUAUAUAUGUUGCAUUUAUGAAUCUAUGUCUCUUACUCCAUGUUUAUCUCUAUUCAAAUGUCUGAUAAAUAUCUAAUGAAUAUGUGUCUUAUACUCAUGUUGUACCUGCACCUUCAACGAGAACAUUGGCUUCUUCAUCUUGAGCAAGAAUAAUGCCUUCAUCCUGAGCCAUAGCAUCAUUUUCCUCAUCAGCUAUAUCCUCAACUUCUCCAGGUAUGAUUUCACCAACUAGUUCUGCUGGGGGAGUAGAGUUGAUGUUCAGAAGAAAACCUACUUCUAGAUGAACACCUACAAGGAUAACAAUGGGAUAAGACAAUUAGAUUGAAUCAGAUGACACACUUAAUUUCUUUAUUUAUUUUUAAAUUUAUUCUACUUCUAGUGAUGAAAACUUGGCAAUCAAGGGUUGAUUUAGCAUGUUUUUUGUGUUAGCUUCAAACUGAGUACUUUCUGAUUGCAUGUUAAAAAAACAAAUACUCCAAGUAUGCAAAGUUGUAUCUGCACCUUCAGCAGGAGCAACACCUUGAUUUGUAGAUUAUCAAAGUGGGCAAUCAAGGGAUGCGCUAAAUCUCUUGUUCCACAUAUGGCUACUCUAAAUGGAGUAUGGAUCUUGUAC
RNAcentral lists this long non-coding RNA (979 nucleotides) under Setaria italica (foxtail millet). Its description in RNAcentral is "long non-coding RNA (SITA_LNC003897)". The record is from RNAcentral. Lineage: Eukaryota; Viridiplantae; Streptophyta; Magnoliopsida; Poales; Poaceae.